RNAcentral lists this long non-coding RNA (1283 nucleotides) under Zostera marina. RNAcentral describes it as "long non-coding RNA (ZMAR_LNC003985)". Lineage: Eukaryota; Viridiplantae; Streptophyta; Magnoliopsida; Alismatales; Zosteraceae. The record is from RNAcentral.
UUAUUCGUGGACGCUCUUCCAUUAUUUAUUUAUAGUGGUAACUUUGUGCAUAAUUCAUGAGAUAUCUUAGCCGAACAACAUUUAAAUAUUAUCUCAUCAAAUUUACAGAAAUGAUAUUAACCGUGAAUACCUCCGCCGCCACCACCAUCACCUCCUCCGCCUACACCAACUCCGAUUGAUACAUGACCACUUCCACCACCUUUGACUGAUCCAUGACCACCUCCUUCACCUGAGCCACCACCUCCGCCUGAUCCAUGACCACCUCCUCCACCUGAUCCAUGACCACCUCCUCCACCUGAGCCACCACCUCCGCCUGAUCCAUGACCACCACCUCCACCUGAUCCAUGACCACCUCCUCCACCUGAGCCACCAUCUCCGCCUGAUCCAUGUCCGCUUCCACCAACUUUGCCAUGUCCACCUAUACCAACUCCGAUUGAUACGUGACCACUUCCACCACCUCCGCCUGAUCCAUGACCACCUCCGUGACCACUUCCAUGACCACCUCCAUGACCACCUCCUCCACCCGAACCACCACCUCCACCUGAUCCAUGACCGCCUCCAUGACCACCACCUCCGCCUGAUCCAUGACCGCCUCCAUGACCACCUCCUCCACCCGAACCACCACCUCCGCCUGACCACCUCCUCCACCCGAACCACCACCUCCGCCUGAUCCAUGACCGCCUCCAUGACCACCUCCUCCACCUGAGCCACCACCCCCACCUGAACCAUGACCACCUCCACCACCUGAUCCAUAACCUUUACCUGAACCAUGACCACCUCCACCACCUGAUCCAUAACCUUUACCUUUGCCAUGACCACCUCCUCCACCUGAGCCACCACCCCCACCUGAACCAUGACCACCACCUCCACCUGAGCCACCACCCCCACCUGAACCAUGACCACCUCCUCCACCUGAGCCACCACCCCCACCUGAUCCAUGACCACCUCCCCCGCCCGAGCCACCACCUCCGCCUGAUCCAUGACCGCCUCCACUACCGCCGCCACCGCCACCCCCUGAACCAUGGCCACCACCUCCUACACCUAUUCCGAUAUCUAUCCCUAGACCAAGACCUAUCAAUGACCUUGCAUAAGAGAGAUCCAACAUAAGAAGGAGAAAAAAGAAACCCAUAGUCCUGAACUUUGCCAUUGUCACUUUGUAUUCGAGAUACCAAUGGAGAUGAGAAAGAUCUUUGAUCAUGAAGUGGUCUAUGCGCAAUGACCCUAUUUAUAGCAAUAUUCAGCUAGCAUGUAUUGGAAGCACACCGAUUAUAUAUCCAACACUC